Molecule: small nucleolar RNA, 72 nt
Organism: Manis javanica (Malayan pangolin)
Lineage: Eukaryota; Metazoa; Chordata; Mammalia; Pholidota; Manidae
Product: small nucleolar RNA SNORD113/SNORD114 family
Source: RefSeq, a predicted model, not a curated record
CGGCUCAGUGAGGACCGCUGGCGGCAUGUGAAUCAUACAUGACGCAUACGUGUCUAGAACUCUGAGGUCCAA